RNAcentral lists this long non-coding RNA (592 nucleotides) under Pan troglodytes (chimpanzee). RNAcentral's name for it is "long non-coding RNA NONPTRT015303". The record is from RNAcentral. Lineage: Eukaryota; Metazoa; Chordata; Mammalia; Primates; Hominidae.
UAGCAUCUAGCUAAUCAGCUGACCUUGAGAUGCAGAGAUUAUCUGGAAUUAUCCAGAUUGGUCCAUUUAAUUACAUGAGUCCUUAAAAGUGGAAAGUGGAAGAAGAGGCAGAAGAGUGUGUCAGAGAGAUGCUGUGUGAAAAGGACUCAACCUGCCACUUGAGGCUUUGAGGCUGGAGAAAGGGGCCAUGAACCAAGGAUUGUGAGCAGCCUGUAAAACCUGGAAAAGACAAGGCAAUACCCUUUGCUGUCUCAGGGUCAAACAUGCAACUCCUGCCUGCUUGUAUGGCCAGCUGGGUUCAAGAAGGAAGGAACCUCAUUGUUGACAGUUACCAGAUGAAUGUGCCCCUUCUGUACAGCUAAGAAAUGGAAUAGACAUUGCUACAGCAUAAUGGACUCCAAGACAUCUGAUAUAACCUCUGCACAAUGCCUUGGGGAGCACACUGAUAUAUUUUUCCUUCUGAGAGUCAAGCAAUUUUCCUAAGAAAAAAAUACUGUGCUUUUCUGUAGCAAAAAGUCCACAGGUAUGUCAAAUACAGAUUUUACCAUGAUUAUAACUGAAAAAUAUAAAAGAGGUUUUAGAAAACAUCUUG